This 519-nucleotide ribosomal RNA is filed under the name uncultured bacterium. RNAcentral's name for it is "partial 16S ribosomal RNA". It matches the Rfam family "Bacterial small subunit ribosomal RNA", at positions 28 to 507 of the family's 1533-position model. The record is from RNAcentral.
GACGAACGCUGGCGGCGUGCCUAAUACAUGCAAGUCGAGCGAGUCUGCCUUGAAGAUCGGAGUGCUUGCACUCUGUGAAACAAGAUACAGGCUAGCGGCGGACGGGUGAGUAACACGUGGGUAACCUGCCCAAGAGAUCGGGAUAACACCUGGAAACAGAUGCUAAUACCGGAUAACAACAGAUGAUGCCUAUCAACUGUUUAAAAGAUGGUUCUGCUAUCACUCUUGGAUGGACCUGCGGUGCAUUAGCUAGUUGGUAGGGUAACGGCCUACCAAGGCGAUGAUGCAUAGCUGAGUUGAGAGACUGAUCGGCCACAUUGGGACUGAGACACGGCCCAAACUCCUACGGGAGGCAGCAGUAGGGAAUCUUCCACAAUGGACGCAAGUCUGAUGGAGCAACGCCGCGUGAGUGAAGAAGGGUUUCGGCUCGUAAAGCUCUGUUGUUGGUGAAGAAGGACAGGGGUAGUAACUGACCUUUGUUUGACGGUAAUCAAUGAGAAAGUCACGGCUAACUACGUG